GCAGUGUCCCGGCCUCGUCGCUGGCCCAUUAUCACUCGUGACUUGGGCGAGAGGAAAGUCCGGGCAGCAUAGAGCACUCCGCUUCCGAAAAUAGGAGUUACCGGUGACGGUAAGAUCGGGCAGAAGAAAAUAACUGCAUCUCUUGGCUUUAGCCCUAACUCGUUUAUCGCUAUUGCCGUGGGGGUGUCAAGGUGAGAAGGUGAGGUAAGAGCUCACCAGGCUGGUGGUGACAUCAGUGCUGUGUCCACCGGAGGCUGCAAGUUCGCGUAUACCAUCGUCUGAGGGCUGCUCGCCCGAUGUCUUACGACUACGGUGGAGGGUAGAACGCUUGAGCCUGAGGGUAACUUCAGGACUAGAUAAAUGACAAGGCACACCGCAUUUCGAGAGGCUUGCGGAUGUACAGAACCCGGCUUAUAGGGACACUGCUCUC
RNAcentral lists this RNase P RNA (430 nucleotides) under Prevotellaceae bacterium. RNAcentral describes it as "RNase P RNA component class A". It matches the Rfam family "Bacterial RNase P class A". Rfam says of the family: Ribonuclease P (RNase P) is a ubiquitous endoribonuclease, found in archaea, bacteria and eukarya as well as chloroplasts and mitochondria. The record is from RNAcentral. Lineage: Bacteria; Pseudomonadati; Bacteroidota; Bacteroidia; Bacteroidales; Prevotellaceae.